GAUCCUAGCGGGUCACAGUCAUAAACCUGUCUCUAGGGAACGCUACAGAGAACAGGGUCUCUACAGCCUCUUCUAUCAUUGCACAGCGAGGGAAUCUGGGAACCCUCUCCCCACAGUCUUCAGACAUACUUGAGAACUCAUGGCUGAUGGCUAGGGCCAGCCUCUGCUGCCCCUCAGCUGGGUCACCUGGCUGAAGACCGAACUCUCUGGACCCAGUUUCCCUAGAUAGACGCUGUCACUGGUCCUGCCAGUCACAGGUCUCAGCUUCCUCAUCUCCAAGUCGAGUGUGUGAGGCUCGGGCAGGCCUUUCCUGAUGUCCCCUGGGCUGCAACAGGUUUGGGACAGCCUCAGAGGUGUGAUGUGGGACAUCACAGCCUAGGACAUCAGGCUCUGAGGAAGGAUGGCAACAGAGAGGUGGGAAGUCACCUGUUUGGGAAUCAGGAAAAGCUUCCUGAAGGAGCCCGGCUUGCAGAGACAUUUGUAAGACUUGGGUGUGUUCUGACAGAUGGCAUCUAUGUGGCAGUCAUCUGUGCCCUCUGAGCACUCAUCCACAUCCACGGCUCCUGCGGAGGAGGGGAAAGUCCAGGCUCCUGUUGCUCCGCGAAGUCCAGGUCCUCGGAUGACAGGCCCAGCAGGGCGAGAGGACCAUAGCUUUGCAGUCUCCCUAGCCCAGAUCCUCCCCCCAGCUCGGAGUCUACACCUGACCCCUAGGCCUUGAGGCCUGGCGGGCACUCAAUGGCCUCUCUCAGCUCGGGAGGCAGGACGCUGAAAAAGUUCAGCAAACCCCAAGGCCCAUCUCCUUGACAACCACCAAUAAGAACGCCUGUUUUCUCCUGCUCUCCAGAUUCAAA
Long non-coding RNA from Rattus norvegicus (Norway rat), 851 nucleotides. RefSeq lists it as uncharacterized. NCBI's taxonomy places the organism in Eukaryota, Metazoa, Chordata, Mammalia, Rodentia, Muridae. The record is from RefSeq and is a predicted model, not a curated record.